RNAcentral lists this ribosomal RNA (253 nucleotides) under uncultured bacterium. RNAcentral's name for it is "partial 16S ribosomal RNA". It matches the Rfam family "Bacterial small subunit ribosomal RNA", at positions 524 to 776 of the family's 1533-position model. The record is from RNAcentral.
UACGGAGGGUGCAAGCGUUAGUCGGAUUUACUGGGCGUAAAGGGUGCGUAGGUGGUCGGGUAAGUCUGAUGUGAAAUCUCGGAGCUCAACUCCGAAACGGCAUUGGAUACUAUUCGGCUGGAGGGUUGGAGGGGGGACUGGAAUACUUGGUGUAGCAGUGAAAUGCGUAGAUAUCAAGUGGAACACCAGUGGCGAAGGCGAGUCUCUGGACAAUUCCUGACACUGAGGCACGAAAGCUAGGGGAGCAAACAGG